GGAUUAGAUACCCUGGUAGUCCACGCUGUAAACGAUGAAUACUAGAUUUUUGCGAUAUACAGUAAGAGUCUAAGCGAAAGCGAUAAGUAUUCCACCUGGGGAGUACGCCGGCAACGGUGAAACUCAAAGGAAUUGACGGGGGCCCGCACAAGCGGAGGAACAUGUGGUUUAAUUCGAUGAUACGCGAGGAACCUUACCUGGGAUUGAAAAUUAGGAGAACGAUUUAUGAAAGUAGAUUUUCCCUUCGGGGCUCCUAAGUAGGUGCUGCAUGGUUGUCGUCAGCUCGUGUCG
RNAcentral lists this ribosomal RNA (291 nucleotides) under uncultured bacterium. Its description in RNAcentral is "partial 16S ribosomal RNA". It matches the Rfam family "Bacterial small subunit ribosomal RNA", at positions 775 to 1067 of the family's 1533-position model. The record is from RNAcentral.